Molecule: non-coding RNA, 877 nt
Organism: Schizosaccharomyces pombe (fission yeast)
Lineage: Eukaryota; Fungi; Ascomycota; Schizosaccharomycetes; Schizosaccharomycetales; Schizosaccharomycetaceae
Source: the annotation of a GenBank genome assembly
AAAGGUCUAUGAAAACGAAGGACUCCAUGUAACCAUAUUCGGCGCUUAAAAGAAAAAGGAUUAUUUGGCUUUGGGGAAUAAAGACUUUCAUAUCCAUCUGAAUUCAAAUUUGAUUCAGGAGAUGCUAAAGAGAAAAAAAGAAAAUGGUAACCAGGCUGUAAUGAUGUUAUUUUAGCAUCCAUUGUUAUGCAACUAACAGGCAAAUGACCACUUAAAGUAGCUUUUAACUUAUCAAUUGGCGCUUGAGAUAAGAAAUCCUUUAAAACGACCUUUGCUGACAUCGAUGAUUACUUUCUGAAACGCUUUGCACAUUGACUUUUCAAGUAGGCAAUUUAUCAAUACUGAAGGUGAUCUAUUAGAAAUUAUUAUAAAUUAGCCGAAGCAAUUAUCCCUAAGAAGACCUCAACUUUUAAAAUCGGAAAGGACAAAUCUUUGAAGCAAUAAGCUCUUAAUUUUAUGGAACCUAAUAACUUUAACAGCUACACAUUACUAAUUGCUUUUGGCACGACCCAAAUUGCUUAAGGUAUACGUGUAAUGCUUGUUUUAUACCGUUAGUGGAGACUUGACCUCUUUUAGCAAUGAAGUACUAGCAAAAUUUAUGAUAAUCGCACAUCUAAUAAAAGAUAAUUUCACCAAAUGAAAAAAAAAACCACCUAAGCAAUUAAUAUACGAUUUAAGUCACAUACAUUUAAAUUAAGCCCUUGUUGGUGAAUCUUUAUUAAUUAUUAAUCGUUUAUGAACGCUGAAGUACCUUAACCUGUUAAUUGUAAAGAUCAUUUCUAUAUAAUGUUAAUAGGUCAUCAAUGAGCCGCUUUUUCAUUUUCAAAUCGAAUUUGACAUUGAGGUGUUGAUUUACAUCUAUUGAAAAUGAAGGAGC